GUCUAUGGCCAUGCCACCCUGAACGAGCCCAGUCCCAUCUGAUCUCAGAAGCUAAGCAGGGUCGGGCCUGGUUAGUACUUGAAUGGGAGACCACCUAGGAAGACCAGGUGCUAUAGGCG
RNAcentral lists this ribosomal RNA (119 nucleotides) under Pteropus alecto (black flying fox). The record is from RNAcentral. Lineage: Eukaryota; Metazoa; Chordata; Mammalia; Chiroptera; Pteropodidae.